Molecule: transfer RNA, 75 nt
Filed under: Pseudomonas typographi
Lineage: Bacteria; Pseudomonadati; Pseudomonadota; Gammaproteobacteria; Pseudomonadales; Pseudomonadaceae
Description: tRNA-Ile
Source: RNAcentral
UGGGAUGUGGCUGGACGGCGAUUUACCCUUAUGGGGUGCAAGGGGUCGAGUGUUCGAAUCACUCCGUCCCGACCA